Melospiza melodia melodia is the source of this 379-nucleotide long non-coding RNA. RefSeq lists it as uncharacterized. The transcript is spliced from 4 exons. The record is from RefSeq and is a predicted model, not a curated record. NCBI's taxonomy places the organism in Eukaryota, Metazoa, Chordata, Aves, Passeriformes, Passerellidae.
AAUUUUGCAAAAUAUUAAUUGAUGCAAUGUAAAGGACCGUUCAAGAGCCUCCAGAGAUUUGGAUAGUUUAACCCAUUCACUGCCUCGAGGAUCUGCUCGUUGCUGUGGAUUUCUGGCAGAUAAUCUGUGUUUUUUCACUGGUCCCUACUGCAAAGGUGUAAAUCUCUGAGAGGCUGGAAUCAAUCUACAGACUUGGAUGUUUCAUUAACACUCAGAUGUGAGCACCAGUGAUGUAAAUUCCAUCAUUCCACUCCACACUGCAGCAUAUCUGAGAGAGCUUUUCCAUGGCUGUGCAUGACAUCUGAAGUCCCCAGGAUAUCAAUCAACACACAUAAGAAGUGGAUUUCAUGACUACAGUAUAAAAUACCAACAAGGGCAC